RNAcentral lists this ribosomal RNA (272 nucleotides) under Foraminifera environmental sample. RNAcentral's name for it is "partial small subunit ribosomal RNA". The record is from RNAcentral. Lineage: Eukaryota; Foraminifera.
CGGUCACGUUCGUUGCAUUUUAAAGCUAUUUUAUUAAUUAAUAUAAAAAAUAUAAAAAAUUAUAACAAUAUAUUAAAAAAUAUUAUUUUUAUUUUAAUAAAACGCAAUUAAGCAGACAAAUCAAUCCACGAACUAAGAACGGCCAUGCACCACCUAUCACAUAAUUAUGAAAGAACUAUCAUAUUUUUUUAUAUAUUUAAUCUGUCAAUCCUUAAUGUGUCCGGACCUGGUAAGAUUUCCCGUGUUGGGUCAAAUUAAGCCACAUGUUCCAC